UAGCAACACUAGCAUUCAAUCUCAUUACAUGUUCAUUGUCGUUGCAGUGCUCAUGAUUAGAUUUCUCUCCUACAACAUUUACGUUUACUAAUAAACCAUUUAUUAUAAUAAUGGUACACCCUGUACUAGUUAUUGUGACUGGCGCAGUGAUAGCAGCAGUCUUCCUCGGCGUAAGAUAUGCUUUUAAUCUCGAAGAAAAUCCUGAAGAAAAGAUGGUCACCAUUAUAGAUGAUAGCUGAAUGGUCAAUAUUACAAUUACCUAGGAAAUAUUCUUAUUAUCUUCACAGUACCAUAUAAUUAGGGUAUCGAAUGUAUAUUUAUUUUAAUUUAACAUUUAGUCAACAAAUUGUUUGUUAUUACUGCAAUCAAAAGACAGGGUAAGUUACGCCUUCGAUGUGGACGUUCGUUGGAUAGCAAAAAGCUAACAGUAAAUAUUACAAUGAUGGAACACAGAUAUGUUCCGUACCGUGCUAAAUGAUGAUAAACCCUAAAAAUAAACAAAACGUAAGACGAGAAUACAGUCUAGAAGUUAAAGAAGUGUUUUUGUAUUGUACAAAAUGUUCUGGAUUGCUUACGAAAACCGUGAGUUGGCGUUUGACGUCAUACCCAUGCUCCCCAUGUUACAAUACACACACUGUAGAACAAGAUAAGCUUAAUUAAGUCUCUACUAAGAAGUAUUUCUUCUGGAAUUGGAAUGAGUUAAGGAACGUAUUAAAACAAAAGAUAUUGUGACUUAUAAUGUAUAAUCUCAAAUAUUCUGUUAACAAUCAUGCGCGGUUGGAUAUUCACAUUCUCUUUUCCAUUUACUGUUCAACACUGACGGACUUAAGAGCAAAUGUCUACAUAUAAUGAUAGUAUCUACUUUAAAGAAGUUUUUUUUAUAUUAUCUGUGCCAAAACUUACUUAGAGCCCCAGCAGACUACAGACUUUUUAUCGGCCGAUAGUUUAGUUGGGCGCUUAAUCAGUAUGAAUACAACGGAUUGGUUUUAUAUAAUUUCAGUUUAACGGCCCAACCCAAUUGCACUAUCUGUCGGUAAAUAGUCUGCAGGACUGCUAGGUUUAAUAACAUUGGUAAGAAUAUUAAAAUAUUUGGGUAUAA
Long non-coding RNA from Papilio polytes (common Mormon), 1099 nucleotides. RefSeq lists it as uncharacterized. The transcript has 2 exons. NCBI's taxonomy places the organism in Eukaryota, Metazoa, Arthropoda, Insecta, Lepidoptera, Papilionidae. The record is from RefSeq and is a predicted model, not a curated record.